This is a long non-coding RNA of Esox lucius (northern pike), 411 nucleotides long. NCBI's taxonomy places the organism in Eukaryota, Metazoa, Chordata, Actinopteri, Esociformes, Esocidae. The record is from Ensembl.
GGAGUACAUCUGUGAUCUGUUCACAAUUUAACCCUUUACAGAAAUAUAAUGGUGAUCAGUCAUGCCUCUAUAUCAGACCCUCCCGAGGACGCUUGAUGUCAUCUCGUCCCUCCUGGUCAUUAUACUGCUGUCUCCUCUCAACAAUACUGCCCUCUCAGCGGUCUGCUCUAGCUGCUUCUCCACUUGAAAUGCCUGGCUGGCCUCUUCUCGCAAACCUACAUGAAAUUGUGUGCUAAAACGUUGCGUGGUCCUCCCCUUACUCCUCCCACUAACCGUGUUUUUAGGACACAACAAAGGAGACCCCCAGACAACUUGGCUGAUGGACUGUUAUCAGGAAUCAAUGUUCAUGUGAAAGCAAAAGAUGCUCAAGUGUCUGUGAUCAUCCAUUUAAUCUAAAAGGGACAGUCCACU